This 459-nucleotide long non-coding RNA is filed under the name Mus caroli (Ryukyu mouse). RNAcentral's name for it is "predicted gene, 44265 (MGP_CAROLIEiJ_G0034597.1)". Lineage: Eukaryota; Metazoa; Chordata; Mammalia; Rodentia; Muridae. The record is from RNAcentral.
ACACCUGCACCCCCUGAUGAUGUGUCAGUGAUCUUACUGGUCAGGAAAAACAGAACUUAUAAGCAAUGUAUUUGAAUAUUCAGCUAAGAUUGCCAAGCAUGGUGUGGAGGAUGAAGCCUUCUCUCUUCUGCUUCAAGUAAGGUGAGGAACAAAUCAGGGAGAACUGUUAGGGUGUGGUGAUUCCACAGCUUCCUGGAUUUUGUGACUGCCAAGGCUGCUGAAAUUGGGAGAUGACUGUCGAGAAAGCANGACUGCAGUGGGGNGGCAUCCUUUUGCUGGAAAAAUUAGGGUGUCAAGUGGACCCAGUCAGGUAUCUCAGAAAAAGCUGGGAUGAGAUAGACUUGUUGAAAAAGUAUGUGUGAGGCUCCUCUUAUUUAAUGAUACAGAUCCCUGUGGUGCACAUGACAUACCCCUACAAUUCAGAGACUGUUGUACUAGCAAAACCCCCAGACAGGAAGA